RNAcentral lists this transfer RNA (84 nucleotides) under Candidatus Pacearchaeota archaeon. Its description in RNAcentral is "tRNA-Leu". It matches the Rfam family "tRNA". Rfam says of the family: Transfer RNA (tRNA) molecules are approximately 80 nucleotides in length. Lineage: Archaea; Nanobdellati. The record is from RNAcentral.
GCAGGGGUAGCAAAGUGGUCAAAUGCGCAGGACUCAAGAUCCUGUGGCUUAGUGCCUUCGGGGGUUCGAAUCCUCCCCCCUGCA